This 647-nucleotide ribosomal RNA is filed under the name uncultured bacterium. RNAcentral describes it as "bacterial SSU rRNA". It matches the Rfam family "Bacterial small subunit ribosomal RNA", at positions 741 to 1381 of the family's 1533-position model. The record is from RNAcentral.
UGACGCUCAGGUACGAAAGCGUGGGUAGCGAACGGGAUUAGAUACCCCGGUAGUCCACGCCGUAAACGAUGCACACUAGGUCGCGGAGCCUCUCAUGGUCUCGCGGCCGAAGGUAAACUGAUUAGUGUGCCGCCUGGGGAGUACGGUCGCAAGGCUAAAACUCAAAGGAAUUGACGGGGGCUCACACAAGCGGUGGAGCAUGUUGCUUAAUUCGAGGCAACGCGAAGAACCUUACCUAGACUUGACAUGUAUGGAUUAGUUCCUGGAAACAGGAAUGACGCCCUUGGGUGGAACAUACACAGGUGCUGCAUGGCUGUCGUCAGCUCGUGCUGUGAAGUGUCGGGUUAAGUCCCUUAACGAGCGCAACCCCUAUCGUUAGUUACUAACGCGUCAUGGCGAGGACUCUAGCGAGACUGCCGGUGUCAAACCGGAGGAAGGUGGGGAUGACGUCAAGUCCUCAUGGCCCUUAUGUCUAGGGAUGCAAACGUGCUACAAUGGCAUGGACAAAGCGAUGCAAUACCGCGAGGUGGAGCAAAUCGCAAAAACCAUGCCCCAGUUCGGAUAGCAGGCUGAAAUUCGCCUGCUUGAAGCCGGAAUCGCUAGUAAUCGCGUAUCAGCUACGACGCGGUGAAUACGUUCCUGAGCCU